Non-coding RNA from Parelaphostrongylus tenuis, 73 nucleotides. NCBI's taxonomy places the organism in Eukaryota, Metazoa, Nematoda, Chromadorea, Rhabditida, Metastrongylidae. The record is from the annotation of a GenBank genome assembly.
GCGUCGGUAGCGCAAUUGGUUAGCACGCGCCCUCGGAAAGGCUGAAUUGCGAGUUCAAUUCUCGUCUGAUGUU